Molecule: long non-coding RNA, 2035 nt
Organism: Dermochelys coriacea (leatherback sea turtle)
Lineage: Eukaryota; Metazoa; Chordata; Testudines; Dermochelyidae
Exons: 5
Source: RefSeq, a predicted model, not a curated record
GGCCUGAGUCACCUGAAAUGCAGCAGUUUUCAAAGAUCAGACCCCAUCACCUGAUCCACUGACGGGUGGCUGCUGUUACAGGGGCAGAAAAAGUUUAAAAAUAGUCUAUAUUAACUUUAAGAUCCUUGACCAAUGCAAACUGAUGUAUGCAGUAUAGGAAGAAAAAACUCUGGGAGAAGAACUGCAAGAAAACCAAAGAGAAAUGCAGGAUGUCUUUCUUUUGCUCUCUGGACUUUGACUGAAGUGAAUCAGGUACUAGAUGGUGGCAUCUAACAGGACUUUGAUGACUGAGUGAAUCUGGAAAGUGGAAUCAGCAACCAAUCAAAUGACAGACUACUGAAAGAGUCAGAGCAUGAUGUACAAUCCACAGACGAUACCCAUUUUACAAGUCUGCAGCAAGAUUAAGAAGACAUGACACAAUUCCUUUUGGCCGCUCCAGACAAAAAUAGUAUAAUAAGCCUCAAGAGAUGAAAAGACUUGGAGAAACUCUGGUCUGGUUUUAUUUUAAAGGUCAUUUCUGGAUACAAAUGUUAACUUAUAGUCAUUGGGGCCCAAUCCUACUGAGAGCACUUCCUGAGAGAUACUGAGUGCCCUCAACUCCCACUGGGGAUACUCUGCACCAAGCAAGAAGCGCUCAGUACUUUUAUUUCAGAAGAAAUCAUACAAUGUACAUCAAGGCUAUUGUACAGCAGUUUCUCCCCAAUCCAAUGAAAAGGCUCCUGUUGACUUCAGUGGGCUUUGGAUCAGGCCCUAAAUGUGUACUCCAAGGUGGUCAACUUAGGAAAAGAAUUGACAUUGGCAAGAAAAUAGUGCUCUUAUCAGGAAUUCACCAGAAUCAACAUAUGAAAACUAUCAAGAGAAGUCUGAGAAGCUGUAUUCUACCCUCUGGAUGUCUGAGGGGACUAAGAUACAGAAAUCCACUGAGCAAUUUCAGCAAGAGUGGGUCACGCUCCCACCGCUCAGGCUGCAAACCAAUAUCCACACACUCCCCCCCGGCACUCGCAUCGAGAGACACCCCUCUGACUCUGCCUGAGUCGUUGGAUUCACUUUCUCAGCAGCUGGGUCAAACAAAUCUCUGUUCAGGUAAACCACUCGAAAAGGAGUCAUCAAUGGGAAGCUCAUCAGGACAAUCUCAUCACAGUUGCCUCCAGCACCGGAUAAUAUAGCUUCAGUUUCCCUUUCUUUAGGCUGAAUUAUUUAGAACUUUUGUUAUCUUUUCUUGAGCAUAUGUAUUCGUUUCUUAUUUCCAUGUUAACUCUCCUCCCCGGUCAGUACAAGUUUUGUGGUAGUUCAAACCGGUUUCUUCUAGCUUUGUGGCUACUUUAUCUUUUAUUUUCCUCAUGAACAUGAUUCCUCUGCAUCUUUGUCUUACAGGUGCACAGUUCUGCUUACACUUACGCUGUUAAAUGGUAUCAGAACAGACACGUAAAGUUCACAGGAGGCUUCUAUCAGACCUAAAUAUGGCUUCACUCUCAACAGGGGUUAGCUUUGCUCCGGGCUGGCCAUGUGCUUAGUGCCUUUGGCAGUAGCUUCCAUUGUCUGCAGUAGUUUCACUACAUAAAGGGGCUUAAUUGCUCCUUCUUUGAGCUGGAAAGAAAGUGCUUGGGAUGCCCAUUGGCUUUAACAAGGUCUGUAAAUGUCUUUGGAUCCAAGACUCCCAUGAUGGCAGCCACUGAAAUAACUUUGGUUAAAACAACAGAAGAGAAAGAAUAGGCCAGAUCACCAGUGUGUCCCAGUUGUAUUGCAUCACUCUGGCAAUGCAAAUCUGAGGUAACUAUCAUGUGAGCGUGGGUUUAUGGCUGGGUUGCUGUAGCAGCACAAAGCAGCCAGAGCAUACUGGCAAUUCUGGCCCACUGUGUGUGAGGAAAUUGCAGAAUGACUGGCUCAUAACUGAAGAAACUGGGGCAAAAUGUAACACUGUUGCAACUCAUUUCACUUCAAAGAGUCUGUAUUUUAGACUUUUAAAUUAACUGUACACUUUAUGCAGUGGCACUGCAAAGGCUACACUCUCUUGCUUACUAUUAUAUUGGUCACU